This 235-nucleotide ribosomal RNA is filed under the name uncultured Eubacteriales bacterium. RNAcentral's name for it is "uncultured Clostridiales bacterium partial 16S ribosomal RNA". It matches the Rfam family "Bacterial small subunit ribosomal RNA", at positions 99 to 334 of the family's 1533-position model. Lineage: Bacteria; Bacillati; Bacillota; Clostridia; Eubacteriales. The record is from RNAcentral.
CGAACGGGUGAGUAACGCGUGAGCAACCUGCCUAUGACAGUGGGAUAGCCUCGGGAAACCGGGAUUAAUACCGCAUAAAAUCGUAGAAACACAUGUUUUAACGGUCAAAGAUUUAUCGGUCAUAGAUGGGCUCGCGUCUGAUUAGCUAGUUGGUGAGAUAACAGCCCACCGAGGCGACGAUCAGUAGCCGGUCUGAGAGGAUGAACGGCCACAUUGGAACUGAGACACGGUCCAA